Molecule: long non-coding RNA, 273 nt
Filed under: Ananas comosus (pineapple)
Lineage: Eukaryota; Viridiplantae; Streptophyta; Magnoliopsida; Poales; Bromeliaceae
Description: long non-coding RNA (ACOM_LNC002383)
Source: RNAcentral
UUUUUUAUAUUUUUGUUAUUUUCAUAAUUAUUUUAUAAUUAUGUUUGUAUAUAAGUUUUAAAUAUUAAUUUUUAUUGCGACAUAUAAUAAUAUAUGCUGGUAAUUAUAACCUUUAGCAACAUUUAUUAUAUAAUGUUGGUGAAUUUAUAUAUUCAGCAACACUUUCAUUUGUGUGUUACUAAAUAAAAUAAAUAGCAACGUAUAACUAAGUGUUGCUAGAAAAAUGUUGCUAAAUAUCAAUAUUGUUGUAGUGGGAUCAGCUUGUUGUUCCAA